UCAUUCAAAUUUCUUCCCUAUCAACUUUCGAUGUUUGGGUAUUGGCCAAACAUGGUUGCAACGGGUAACGGAGGGUUAGGGCUCGACCCCGGAGAAGGAGCCUGAGAAACGGCUACUACAUCCAAGGAAGGCAGCAGGCGCGCAAAUUACCCAAUCCCGACACGGGGAGGUAGUGACAAUAAAUACUGAUACAGGGCUCUUUUGGGUCUUGUAAU
This 215-nucleotide ribosomal RNA is filed under the name uncultured eukaryote. RNAcentral describes it as "partial 18S small subunit ribosomal RNA". It matches the Rfam family "Eukaryotic small subunit ribosomal RNA", at positions 295 to 509 of the family's 1831-position model. The record is from RNAcentral.